CUCUGAUCCAGCCAUGCCGCGUGUGUGAAGAAGGCCUUUUGGUUGUAAAGCACUUUAAGCGAGGAGGAGGCUUACCUGGUUAAUACUUGGGAUAAGUGGACGUUACUCGCAGAAUAAGCACCGGCUAACUCUGUGCCAGCAGCCGCGGUAAUACAGAGGGUGCAAGCGUUAAUCGGAUUUACUGGGCGUAAAGCGCGCGUAGGUGGCUAAUUAAGUCAAAUGUGAAAUCCCCGAGCUUAACUUGGGAAUUGCAUUCGAUACUGGUUAGCUAGAGUAUGGGAGAGGAUGGUAGAAUUCCAGGUGUAGCGGUGAAAUGCGUAGAGAUCUGGAGGAAUACCGAUGGCGAAGGCAGCCAUCUGGCCUAAUACUGACACUGAGGUGCGAAAGCAUGGGGAGCAAACAGGAUUAGAUACCCUGGUAGUCCAUGCCGUAAACGAUGUCUACUAGCCGUUGGGGCCCUUGAGGCUUUAGUGGCGCAGCUAACGCGAUAAGUAGACCGCCUGGGGAGUACG
RNAcentral lists this ribosomal RNA (512 nucleotides) under uncultured bacterium. RNAcentral describes it as "bacterial SSU rRNA". It matches the Rfam family "Bacterial small subunit ribosomal RNA", at positions 381 to 884 of the family's 1533-position model. The record is from RNAcentral.